This 278-nucleotide unclassified non-coding RNA is filed under the name plant metagenome. RNAcentral's name for it is "partial contains 5.8S ribosomal RNA, internal transcribed spacer 2, and large subunit ribosomal RNA". The record is from RNAcentral.
ACCGGUAAACGUGGCUUCCUACGAAUCGUUCGGCGUGGGAAUACGCGUGCUGCUCGACGGGUGCUGGGGCUUUGCCGCUACGGACGAUCUUUCCACGCGCGGCAUCGAGAAGGCUGCUUCUCUUGCACUCGAGAUUGCCCGUUCGGGCGCCAUCGCCAGGAGCUCGGGCGUGACGCUCGCGCCCGAAGCACCGCAUAUCGCCAGUUGGACCUCACCAUGUAACAUCGAUCCGUUCUCCACGUCGGUGGAGCAGAAUCUGUCCCUUCUGAUGAGCAUCG